RNAcentral lists this ribosomal RNA (253 nucleotides) under uncultured bacterium. Its description in RNAcentral is "partial 16S ribosomal RNA". It matches the Rfam family "Bacterial small subunit ribosomal RNA", at positions 524 to 776 of the family's 1533-position model. The record is from RNAcentral.
UACGUAGGGGGCAAGCGUUGUCCGGAUUUAUUGGGCGUAAAGAGCGUGUAGGCGGCUAGGUAGGUGGGUUGUGAAAACUGGAGGCUCAACCUUCAGACGUCGACCCAAACCCCCUGGCUAGAGUCCGGAAGAGGAAAGUGGAAUUCCUGGUGUAGAGGUGAAAUUCGUAGAUAUCAGGAGGAACACCGGUGGCGAAGGCGGCUUUCUGGACGACAACUGACGCUGAGACGCGAAAGCGUGGGGAGCAAACAGG